This 335-nucleotide ribosomal RNA is filed under the name uncultured bacterium. RNAcentral's name for it is "bacterial SSU rRNA". It matches the Rfam family "Bacterial small subunit ribosomal RNA", at positions 22 to 356 of the family's 1533-position model. The record is from RNAcentral.
GCUCAGGAUGAACGCUGGCGGCGUGCUUAACACAUGCAAGUCGAACGGGAUCCCAGGAGCUUGCUCCUGGGUGAGAGUGGCGAACGGGUGAGUAAUGCGUGACCGACCUGCCCCAUACACCGGAAUAGCUCCUGGAAACGGGUGGUAAUGCCGGAUGCUCCAGUUGACCGCAUGGUCCUCUGGGAAAGCUUUUGCGGUAUGGGAUGGGGUCGCGUCCUAUCAGCUUGAUGGCGGGGUAACGGCCCACCAUGGCUUCGACGGGUAGCCGGCCUGAGAGGGCGACCGGCCACAUUGGGACUGAGAUACGGCCCAGACUCCUACGGGAGGCAGCAGUA